This is a long non-coding RNA of Rhincodon typus (whale shark), 589 nucleotides long. RefSeq lists it as uncharacterized. Lineage: Eukaryota; Metazoa; Chordata; Chondrichthyes; Orectolobiformes; Rhincodontidae. The record is from RefSeq and is a predicted model, not a curated record. The transcript has 4 exons.
AAUUAGUUGGCAGCUCUCAAAGCCCCGAAUGCUUAAACAGAGUGAUGAAUGCUGCUAGGAGUUCCAGGAGGCCCAUAAAGAAGACAACAUGGAAUCAAGAGAUAAAUCAAGCUGGGGUCAUCUGGUGGUUGAUGGCUUUGGCACAUUGACAGUUUUCAUAUGAUAAGAAUCUGUGGUUCUCCCAACCACAGUACAUACGAAGAAAUACCCAAUCCACCUUGACCCAGAACUUUCAAGUGGCAUUGGAACAGUCUAACAGUUGCCAAUUGCGGGAAAUAUUACCCAUUUACCAGCCAGUCCCGGAGGCCUCUGUAAUAAGAAAGUGGGUAGGCCUUAAACCAGCACAGAGGAAGUGAAGCUACAAAUCUCCAAGAUGCUAGAGGGCGUGGAACACCCCUUGUGAACAGUCGAGGACAGUAUAAGGAUUUCAACUGCAAGUUCACAGCAGUUCCACUAGGAUGAUCCGUGGUGUGGAGAGACGGUCUUAUGAGCAAAGGCUAAACAGGUUGGGACUCUACUCACUGGAGUUCAGAAGAAUGAGAGGUGAUCUCAAUGAAGCACAGGCUUGACAGGACAAUUUUUCAGACAU